GCAAGGCCCGUGGGGCAGUGGCUCAUCCCUUUCCAGCUCAUCUUGUGCCCUUUUGAGGCUGAGGCCUGAAGAGGGGACCACUCUCUUCCCAAUCUCAGAAAAAAACAGCAAGAAGGGAAAAGGCCAUCGCCAUUCAGCUGGAGGAUCCGAGGACUGAAAGGAGAGUAGAGGAGAGUAACAGGAGGGCCUUGCCUUCUACCUAGAGACUGGGGAGUGCGCCAGGCGGCCGUUCCUGGGGCCUGGUGUCUAGAACCCUGAGCGCAAUCCUCUGGCAGGCAGGCUCCCCCCGGCGGGUGGCUUACCUGGCAGGCAGCUGGGCCAGCUGUUCCAGUUCUUGCUCCAUAUGCUCCUGCAACUCACUGGGCCUUAGCAGGACCUGGCAGAUGGGGCAAAUAGGGGCCUGGCUGUCAAACAAUGCUGCUGCCUUUUUCUUACCUGGGGAGGGAAGAAGAAGAGACAGACAGAUAAGCUGGGCUAGUCUGUGGAUGGAAACCCAGCGUCCCGAUCCUGCAAUCCAAGCCUGCUGCGUCCCAGGGCUUCCUGGCCUAGAGGAGGGUUGAGCCCGAGGGUCUUGGAGACCCUGACCAUUCACUCUACUUUGUGGCUCGGAGCCGCAAAUGCCACCUCCUCAGCUGUCUGCUCCUCUGGGAAAUCUAUCGGGACACAGUGAAUGCUCCGUGCAAUCCAACCUGGAUCGCUUCAUUUCAUACAGAUGCUCAGAGGACAGCUGGAAGGCAGCUCUGAGUAAAAGAAGCAGAUGUGGCCUGGUCUGGAAGAUGGGAGAUGAAGAUUCUAGUCUCAGCUCCGCCUCAAACUUCAUUUAGCCAGGGACUCUCCAAGGCCUGGGAGUGGGCAUCCUGGCCCAUCUCUUCCACGGGUCCCAGAACCUGAGAGUCCUCCUCAGGCUGGAGAGGCUUCUGGGAAGCCCUAGUUCAGCUGCCCAUCCACGUAGGAGGCGCUUCUCCAACGCCAACGCCAGCCUCAUAGGUACCCCGGCAGGAGCACCAGGCGCCCCGGCAGGAGCACCGAGCACCCCGAGCAGGAGCACCCGGCGCCCCAGGAGGAGCACCGGGCACCCCGGGAGGAGCACCAGGCACCCCCAGGAGGAGCACUGGGUACCCCGAGGAAGAGGAGCACCAGCUACCCCGAGGAGGAGGAGCAUUGGGUACCCGCGUGCAAGAGGACCAGACCACAAGAGGCAGGGCUUGACCACCAGGUGUCUGAUUUAAGAAAGAAGCAGGAAGGUUAACACGAGGGCGAAGGUACUGCUAAUGACACAUGGCGAUGGAAGCUGGCCCCUUUAAGAGAAGGAGGAAGAGCUGCAGGCUUGGUGAGGAAGAAAAUGAGUUCAGGUUUGGACGAUGUGCUUAGUUGGAGGAGCUGUUAAGACAUCCAUGUGAAAAUGCUUUCUAGGCACUCUACGGGAGCCAGAGCCAGAGUUCCAGAGCUGGAGACAUUGACACGUAGAAAACCAUGAUUGGUGCCUCUGGUGAGUGUGGGGCAGGAAGAGUUAACAUGCUGACAGAUGGCAUUUUUUACCUUCAGUCAAUAUGAACAAGGCCCCAAGACUAUGAUUCCAAACAUCUGGAUUUCAUCAAUAUGUGAUCUGUCAUCGUAUAUUGGCAUUCCCCAGUCCCCGCGCCAGAGCAAUGCGGCUGGUUUUAUUAAUACGUCAAAUACAUUAUCCGUGUAAUACA
Canis lupus familiaris (dog) is the source of this 1697-nucleotide long non-coding RNA. RefSeq lists it as uncharacterized. The transcript is spliced from 7 exons. Lineage: Eukaryota; Metazoa; Chordata; Mammalia; Carnivora; Canidae. The record is from RefSeq and is a predicted model, not a curated record.